This 61-nucleotide ribosomal RNA is filed under the name Inocybe cf. splendens EL21906. RNAcentral's name for it is "partial 18S ribosomal RNA". The record is from RNAcentral. Lineage: Eukaryota; Fungi; Basidiomycota; Agaricomycetes; Agaricales; Inocybaceae.
GUCAUUUAGUGAAUGUAAAAGUCGUAUCAGCUUCCGUAGGUGAACAUGCGGCAGAUCAUCA